GACGAACGCUGGCGGCGUGCCUAAUACAUGCAAGUCGAGCGAAGAGUUUCUGGUGCUUGCACUAGAAAAACUUAGCGGCGAACGGGUGAAUCACACGUAAAGAACCUGCCUCAUAGACUGGUACCACUAUUGAAAACGAUAGCUAAUCCCGGAAAACAGUAUUUCUCGCAGGUGAAUAAUUUAAAAGUUGGUUAUGCUAACACAAUGAGAUGGCUUGGCGGUGCAUUAGCUAGUUGGUGGGGUAAAGGCCCACCAAGGCGACGAUGCAUAGCCGACCUGAGAGGGUGAUCGGCCACACUGGGACUGAGACACGGCCCAGACUCCUACGGGAGGCAGCAGUAGGGAAUCUUCCGCAAUGGGCGAAAGCCUGACGGAGCAACGCCGCGUGAGUGAAGAAGGAUUUCGGUUCGUAAAGCUCUGUUGUUAGGGAAGAAUGGAUAUGUAGUAACUAUACAUGUAAGAGACGGUACCUAAUCAGAAAGCCACGGCUAACUACGUG
RNAcentral lists this ribosomal RNA (499 nucleotides) under uncultured bacterium. RNAcentral describes it as "partial 16S ribosomal RNA". It matches the Rfam family "Bacterial small subunit ribosomal RNA", at positions 28 to 507 of the family's 1533-position model. The record is from RNAcentral.